AGAGUUUGAUCCUGGCUCAGGAUGAACGCUGGCGGCGUGCUUAACACAUGCAAGUCGAACGAUUAAAGCCCCCUUCGGGGGGUGUAUAAAGUGGCGAACGGGUGAGUAACACGUGGGUAACCUGCCCCUUACUCUGGGAUAACUUCGGGAAACCGAAGCUAAUACCGGAUACUCCUUUCAGGUCGCAUGGCCUGGUCGGGAAAGCUCCGGCGGUGAGGGAUGGACCCGCGGCCCAUUAGCUUGUUGGUAGGGUAAUGGCCUACCAAGGCGACGAUGGGUAGCCGAGCUGAGAGGCUGAUCGGCCACACUGGGACUGAGACACGGCCCAGACUCCUACGGGAGGCAGCAGUGGGGAAUUUUGCGCAAUGGGCGAAAGCCUGACGCAGCAACGCCGCGUGCGGGAUGAAGGCCUUCGGGUUGUAAACCGCUUUCAGCAGGGACGAAACUGACUGUACCUGCAGAAGAAGCCCCGGCUAACUACGUGCCAGCAGCCGCGGUAAUACGUAGGGGGCGAGCGUUAUCCGGAUUCAUUGGGCGUAAAGAGCGCGUAGGCGGCUUGUUAAGCGAGAUGUGAAAACCGGGGGCUCAACCCGCGGCCUGCAUCUCGAACUGGCAGGCUUGAGUCUGGUAGAGGAAAGUGGAAUUCCAGGUGUAGCGGUGAAAUGCGCAGAUAUCUGGAGGAACACCAGUGGCGAAGGCGGCUUUCUGGGCCACGACUGACGCUGAGGCGCGAAAGCUAGGGGAGCAAACAGGAUUAGAUACCCUGGUAGUCCUGGCUGUAAACGAUGGAUACUAGAUCUUGCCUGAAGGGCUUGGUCGUAGCUAACGCGUUAAGUAUCCCGCCUGGGGAGUACGGUCGCAAGGCUGAAACUCAAAUGAAUUGACGG
Molecule: ribosomal RNA, 887 nt
Filed under: uncultured bacterium
Lineage: Bacteria
Description: bacterial SSU rRNA
Rfam family: Bacterial small subunit ribosomal RNA
Source: RNAcentral